This is a non-coding RNA of Vicugna pacos (alpaca), 2832 nucleotides long. Lineage: Eukaryota; Metazoa; Chordata; Mammalia; Artiodactyla; Camelidae. The record is from RefSeq and is a predicted model, not a curated record.
CCCCCAAACCACCUCUUACAAGAGUCGCUUUCAUUCAUUCUUAUGUCCUACUCUUUUACUUUUUGGAUUUCUUGUGGACCAAAAAGGUGCUUGUGUCCUUUCCCUCUCUGCAGAGGGUGGGAGGUGGUACAGGGUCUCUGGACAGUGAACGUGGGGAACCCACCACACUGUCUUUAGCUGUGUGGCCUUUGGAGAAGACAUUUCAUCUUUCAGGCCCUCAGUUUCCCCAUCCUUACCACACAGGAAUUGAGCCAAAUGAUUGCUAAGGUCCCUUUCAGCGCCGACCUCCUCUGACCGAAUGAGAUAAUGUGCGAAAGCACUUUGUAAACGCUAAAGCCGGACGAGUGCCAAGGAUUAUUAUUACGAUUCUAAUCAAUCCUCUUUUCUCCACAUGGAUCUUGGCUGUUUAGCGCCAGCAAACAGGCUAAAGAGGGCCGCAAGCAAGACAGCUUAGAGGAGCUGGGAAAGCUCUGUGCCGUGCACAGAAAAAACUCUGCCUCUCCAGAAACAUUCUGUCUCUGUGUGCCCCCCGAGGCCUGGUGGGGAGGGGUGGGGAGGAGGAGGAGGCCUAACCUGGUAGGACCCAUUUCAGUUCCCAUGCAGGCAGGCAGGGAGUAGAAUUCUUCCAAAGCAUCGUUUGUCUCCCAGUGACUGACAUAGGAACCUAAUGUGAAGGCGAUCUGCAAUUGUUUUUUUCCAGGAAGAAAGGAAAGAGCAAGGUGUAGCUGAUUAGCAAGUUAAUUAUUUCAGUACCCCAAGGGUUCCAGUGUGGUGGUAAGUUGUCCAGCCCUGGUGUAAUUUCACAGUCCAUGCAUUUCCUGGGGAGCACCUGGGGUGGCUGGGUCUGUCUGUCUCUCCAUCCACCUGCCUUAUGUCUUUGUGACACACCUGGGGAGCUGAGCAGGGGCUGGGGGAGUAGAUGGUGCCACAUAUAUAUUUGGCUCAGGUGGCAGGUGGAGGGCCAGACAGAGAACAAGGUAGAGGAAGCCUCUAUCUCUACCAAGUGUUUAAUUAUCUGGCCCUUCGUUCUUCUUAAAAAAAAAAUUCUGUUGAAUAAAUAUUAAUGAGGCAGGUUAUCAGAAAGCGGAGUUACUGUGAGGUUAUUUCCCCAGACUUGGCGUGGAAAGAAGUGGGGUUGGAGGGGCCCUUUUGCCUCUCACCCCACUCCUAGUCCUGGCCCACUCUUCAGUGCUCAUAUUUGCUUUCCCAGUUCUGGCCGCCACUUGGUCUGCGGUGGCUUCAUCCAAUCUCCCUUCAAGAGCUGAUUUCCCCUUGGGGGAGGGGAGGGAGGGCUGUGUGGUCAAACGGACACCUCCGUCAGAGAGAUAAGUUGGGGAGGUGAACAUGAGCCUCAGAAUUGGCAGCUUCUGCUUCUCCCUGCUCCCUAGGCUGGUAGGGCCAGCCCCCUGCUGCUCCUCCUGCGAUGGACAGGGGCUCGACAGUUUACUUAAGAGUGGUCCCAUCUGCUCAGACUGGCCUUUCAUAAGGGGAGGGAUUUAUGCAGUGUCCUUGUGCACAGACCUGGGAUUUGCUUGAAAACCCUGGGCCUCUGAGAAUAUUACUGAAAGCUGAAAUGUUCAGCCACAGCGAUGAUUCAUGAGUUGUCUGCAUUCAAUGGGGGUAUGUGUGUGUGUGUGUGUGUGUAUGUGUGUGUUGGGGAGGGGGCACACGCAUUGAUGGGUGCUUUUCCCCAGUCUUACUUCUAAUCCAAACGUUAGGAAACUUUCUUUUUUCCUGUAUUCACUCAGGAGACAGCCCACAGCACCUGGCUCUGGAGAGCCAACUUCCCGACUUCAGCGGUGUGAAGACGCGGUGAUACUUUUUGGCGCCGGCAAUCAAGCAGGCAUCCGGGGUCUCAGCAGGAGGAAGUCAGAGAAACUGAGAACACAGGAAGGCAGGUGUAGCAAGUUCCUUGUCUCAAUCUUGGUAGCACCAAGCCAAAAUGAAGCCCAGAGAUCCCAGAGAACAGGGCUUGGAGGUCCCGUAUGGGAUCUUGACCUCUUUUCAUUGCCCAGUGGCUGGUAAGCGAGCAUUUUCAGCUUAUAUGACCCUCAUUGGUGGUUCUACCAUUUUCUUGCUCAUGUUCUAGUUUGGACCCUAGCCUCCACAGCUCUGGAGUUUUUCUUUUCUCACAGGCCAUUCGUAAUUUAGCCAGCGUUUUAGGCCAUUGGUCAGCACAUGUUCUGAAUGGGGAGCCAGCAGGCCUGUACCUAUGUGCAAAGUUGUUCUCAUUUGGGCUCAAGGGAGGAUAUAGUUUCCCCUUAAAAAAAGAGAAGCAGGGAACCAUUUCUAUGAAUCUUUUGAUGAAGGAUUUACUACCAAUUUGAUAAGUUCAAUGCUCUUUUUACUCAUUCUGAAUGAAUAACUUUGUCAGUCAACCCAAGGGUCUGCAGAACCUAUAAAAAUUCUUUCUUCAGCCUCCCUGUUUUAACACAUGCUGGGGCUCCAGCCUGCCUCUGACAGACUGGGGAGGAGCAGAAACAUUCCAGAGACCAGGACUUAGAGUGUUAUCUCUCCCCCUACCCCAAAUCCUCACUCUCCAUUUUAUCUCUCUUUACCACAAAUGCAGAGACCUCCUAGGGACGUGUGAAGGGAUGGGUUUUAAUCAGGUUUGGGGAAGUAAGGGGCCUAAGUUGACCCCAAAGAAAGAGGGAAACCAUUGGAAUUUCUCAAUGAUGCCCCGCUGUUACAUCUCUCAUGUGUUGUAUAUUGCAUCCCACAGAGUAUGCAUUUGUGGCAGUAAUCUACAGUGUAUACCUACGGUGUAUAGGUUAGCAUUUCCCAAAUGCUGCUUGGCCGAAACAGUGUUAAAUAAAAUUGUAAGAAAUUCUA